CCUUGGCGUCCCCCUUCACCACCACCGCCACUCUCCCGGCAACAUCGUUUCCUUCACGGGCGCUUCUGCCGUGCUACGCGUACUUCGCUUCAUGCUCCCUAAACUCCAUCGCAUCCCCUCUUUAUAUGUGCCCGUAAUCGGUUUCACCUUCCUGAGGACGGAGGGGGACGCACCCCUCUCAGUGCGUGGCAUCUCAGGGUCCAGUGCACACCCACUCUGUGCAUUUGUGUGGGGGAGGGGGCCGAGCCGCCCCUCUAUCCCCCGCCGAUGCUGCACCGCUUCUGGUGGCGAGAGGGUCAGGCGCCUACCUACGCAGCGGGGGGUCAGGGCAACGCAUGCCCCCACUGAUGCCGGCAGUGAGGCCGCGGAUGGCGUUGUGUGGGAGAGAUCUUCGACAGUGGACACGUUUGCGCCACCCAUGUGAUGGGCAGGGUGUCAGCGUGACGCCAGCGUACCUCAGCCGCCCCUCGCUGCCCACUGGUGGGGAGCCUGGGCCACCGGGAGGGGGAUGCACCAGGGGUGGCUACGGGCAUAAUAGAAGCGGCUGGGAGGCGGGUGAGUGAGCAGAGUUUGGGGUCAGAGGCCGUGCUAUCAGGUAACUGAGUCGGCGCACUGCUGUACCGCGUGUGUCUAUGGCUGCUUCGCACCAGACGAUGGGGGCCUGUGACAGGGCCGUGUGGAGUAGUGUAUGGCUGACGCGCUGCGACAGAGAACUGGGCACGGUGAACAAAGAAAUGGAAAGUUUGUCAGGUCUGUCUCUAUCAUUUUUGGUGCAGAGUCUGCGCCCCGCGUGCGCAUGCUCAGCGUUGCGCGUUCGCACAUAUCAGUCGGUGUUCGGUAGAUGCCUUGACCAGCUCGAGCUCUCCUCCUCUUCCCCUGUCUCCCUGCACAAGCACGCACGCACAUGUGUGUGCACGUGCGUGUGUGGGUGUGGGUGUGUGGAGGGGGGAUGUUAUAGGACCGUAUCGUAUCCCUCUCCGCCUUUUCGCCACCCCGUCUCACCCCGACUUUUUUCGCUUUUUGUUCUGCCGGCAACGCAAGUCGCCGGCGUCGUUGCCCAACGGCAGGAAAAGCCAGGCUCGUGGGCAUGGGGCGAGGGGCGAGGGGCGAGGGGCAGCGGAAGAGCAAGUGAAAGGGUAAUGGCGGAAAGACGCGGUGUCGGAGGAUGACGCCCCCUCGCGCUGGCUUUUUUCUCCUGCGCGCGCGCCUUUACUCUUCCUUUGGUUUCCGCAAGCUCCCUCAGUGCACAGCGCCAGCGCCGUCGCACAACAGAAAUGGAGCGGCGACCCACACACCACCCUACGGUGGCGCAAACGGUGGAAAGGCAGCUUUCGCGCUACUCGCCUGGAGAAUCGAUGGCGAUCUUGGUGCCGCUGCGCCACGUCGUACAGCCUUGGCUCGCUUGAAUUCUCUCAUGUGCCUACCAUGCACAGCUGCACGUCAGGCACGCUAGAGUUGCGGCUAGCGUGAAGCAUAGAGAGCAACUGCAUUACCACUGCGUUCACCUUACCCCCUCGCCGUGCGCGCCUCCUUUAUUCUCUCCCUAUCUAUGCCACUCCUCUCCUCUCUCUUCUCCUCCUUGCUCGCUCACACCCACUCCCAUCGGCCGCAACAG
RNAcentral lists this unclassified non-coding RNA (1615 nucleotides) under Leishmania donovani. RNAcentral's name for it is "gene:unknown". Lineage: Eukaryota; Euglenozoa; Kinetoplastea; Trypanosomatida; Trypanosomatidae. The record is from RNAcentral.